RNAcentral lists this ribosomal RNA (255 nucleotides) under uncultured bacterium. RNAcentral describes it as "partial 16S ribosomal RNA". It matches the Rfam family "Bacterial small subunit ribosomal RNA", at positions 524 to 776 of the family's 1533-position model. The record is from RNAcentral.
GACGAACCGUGCGAACGUUGUUCGGAUUCACUGGGCUUAAAGGGCGCGUAGGCGGCUUGCCAAGUCAGGGGGUGAAAUCUUUCGGCUCAACCGGAAAAAGUGCUUCUGAUACUGGCGGGCUGGAGGAGGGUAGGGGCGGAUGGAACUUCCGGUGGAGCGGUGAAAUGCGUAGAGAUCGGAAAGAACACCAACGGCGAAAGCACUCUGCUGGGCCGACACUGACACUGAGAGACGAAAGCUAGGGGAGCGAAUGGG